GGCAGCGUAGCUCAGUCGGUCAGAGCAGUGGAAUCAUAAUCCACGUGUCGGGGGUUCGAUUCCCUCCGCUGCUA
Molecule: transfer RNA, 74 nt
Filed under: Fibrobacter sp.
Lineage: Bacteria; Pseudomonadati; Fibrobacterota; Fibrobacteria; Fibrobacterales; Fibrobacteraceae
Also listed under: 1 other name
Description: tRNA-Met
Rfam family: tRNA
About the family: Transfer RNA (tRNA) molecules are approximately 80 nucleotides in length. Their secondary structure includes four short double-helical elements and three loops (D, anti-codon, and T loops).
Source: RNAcentral